UUUCAUCCUCAGCAACGACCGUAUAAACAUCAAAGCCCGCACUGAUUCGUUCGUCCAAAUUCAAAAUGUACCACUUCAAUUAACUACGACGGUAAAAUCGAACGCUCAUUGGUCCUCGCCUGCUUCGUCACAGAUUGCGACAGCAGUGUUCCUGCCUAUGUGUUUGAAUGAUGCACGCUUUCACAAAGUGAAUCAGGAGCAUAGUCUGAGUAAUAUUUUUAGCGAUUAAAAACUUAAAUUGUGCUCUGUACCUCACACCAAACUAUUGUAUUUCACCUGCGGUGGCAACGCAGCAUCAUUUGGACUACUUUUGACCUGGCCAUGUACCCUGCCCUCUUCAUACAGGUUGUCAUGAUGUCAUUACAGAAGGAUAUACAAAAAUAUUUUAUAGCGGGAAACUGUUCUAUGCAACUAUGUUAAACCCACGCAUGAAGUAUGGAAG
Labeo rohita (rohu) is the source of this 442-nucleotide long non-coding RNA. RefSeq lists it as uncharacterized. NCBI's taxonomy places the organism in Eukaryota, Metazoa, Chordata, Actinopteri, Cypriniformes, Cyprinidae. The record is from RefSeq and is a predicted model, not a curated record. The transcript has 3 exons.